Hibiscus syriacus is the source of this 183-nucleotide long non-coding RNA. RefSeq lists it as uncharacterized. Lineage: Eukaryota; Viridiplantae; Streptophyta; Magnoliopsida; Malvales; Malvaceae. The record is from RefSeq and is a predicted model, not a curated record. The transcript is spliced from 3 exons.
GCUCCGCAUUUAUGCAACUCCCUUAAUUGCUGAUAUCAAUAGUGAUGGGAAGCUUGACAUAGUGGUUCCCUCAUUUCUUCACUACCUUGAAGUUUUAGAAGGUUCUGAUGGCGAUAAAAUGCCAGGUUGGCCUGCUUUUCACCAGUCAACCGUGCAUUCUAGUCCUCUCUUGUAUGAUUGAUA